This 439-nucleotide ribosomal RNA is filed under the name uncultured bacterium. Its description in RNAcentral is "partial 16S ribosomal RNA". It matches the Rfam family "Bacterial small subunit ribosomal RNA", at positions 339 to 795 of the family's 1533-position model. The record is from RNAcentral.
CUACGGGGGGCUGCAGUGAGGAAUAUUGCACAGUGGGGGAAACCCUGAUGCGGCAACGCCGCGUGGAGGAUGACGCAUUUCGGUGUGUAAACUCCUUUUAUCAGAGAAGAAGAUGACGGUAUCUGAUGAAUAAGCUCCGGCUAACUCCGUGCCAGCAGCCGCGGUAAUACGGAGGGAGCAAGCGUUAUUCGGAAUCACUGGGCGUAAAGGACGCGUAGGCGGGUUAGAAAGUCAGGUGUGAAAGCCAACAGCUCAACUAUUGAACAGCACUUGAAACUCCUAACCUAGAGUAUGGAAGGGGCAGAUGGAAUUAGUGGUGUAGGGGUAAAAUCCGUAGAUAUCACUAGGAAUACCGAAAGCGAAAGCGAUCUGCUGGGACAUUACUGACGCUGAGGCGUGAAAGCGUGGGGAGCAAACAGGAUUAGAUACCCUCGUAGUC